Molecule: microRNA precursor, 207 nt
Filed under: Oryza barthii
Lineage: Eukaryota; Viridiplantae; Streptophyta; Magnoliopsida; Poales; Poaceae
Description: MIR812 microRNA precursor family
Rfam family: MIR812 microRNA precursor family
Source: Rfam by way of RNAcentral
AAAUAGACAAACCCUGAGUUUCCGUAUCCAACGUUUGACCGUCUGUUUUAUUUGAAAAAAUUAUGAAAGAAAUUAAAAAGACAAGUCACACAUAAAGUAUUAAUCAUGUUUUAUCAUCUAACAACAAUAAAAAUACUAAUUAUAAGAAAAUUUCAUAUAAGAAGGACAGUCAAACGUUGGACAUAGAAAUCUAAGGUUUGUCUUUUU